RNAcentral lists this ribosomal RNA (253 nucleotides) under uncultured bacterium. RNAcentral's name for it is "partial 16S ribosomal RNA". It matches the Rfam family "Bacterial small subunit ribosomal RNA", at positions 524 to 776 of the family's 1533-position model. The record is from RNAcentral.
UACGUAGGGUGCGAGCGUUAAUCGGAAUUACUGGGCGUAAAGUGUGCGCAGGCGGCCGAGCAAGUCGAGUGUGAAAGCCCCGGGCUUAACUUGGGAAUUGCGCUCGAAACUACUUGGCUGGAGUGUGGCAGAGGAAGGUGGAAUUCCAGGUGUAGCGGUGAAAUGCGUAGAGAUCUGGAGGAACACCGAUGGCGAAGGCAGCCUUCUGGGCCAUUUCUGACGCUGAGGCGCGAAAGCGUGGGGAGCAAACAGG